GUCCAUGUGACAUUCGUCUACCUCACAGUGACUGCAGUUUAGGUAAUGCUUAAUGUUCACUUCCCCGUGGCCCUCCAUCACUGGUGACAAGGAGGGAGGGUAAGUCUGGGGCCGAGCCUGUGGAGACCGCCUUGCACCUCAUUCCCAGCCUUUGUGCUGUCUCUCUAGCUGGUGCCUGUGGUUUCUCUGGUUCUUGUCCCUAGGUCCUACUGCCACUGGAGCCUCUGGUGAGGAGCUGGACAGAGAACCUGGGGUGCCCACAGAGGUCUGCACUUUGUGUGUACCUCGGACAGUACACACAAAAUGUACCCUUGUGUGACCCUUUGGUUGGCUGGUUCAGGUGUGAGUAGCCCUGAGGUUUUAGCUUAAGGAGGGUCAUUGUUGGAGGCCGUGUUGCCACCUGUGGCAAACCAGAGAGGAGUUUAACACAGAGAGGUGGGUGCCAACAUCUCAACACACAUGCGCAUCAGCGGGGCGUGCAGCUCUGGUCAAAGCCAGGGGGUCUCUGGGGGCCUUGGGUGGGGCACUGGAGAGGGAAGGGAGGCUCAGAGCACAGCAGCUGCACUUGGGACUUGGUAUGUGGACAACCCCACUCCUCCCAUCCAGACCAACUCCCAUGGGGGAGUCUCUGUCAUUCUGCCGGCCCCACUAGGAAGCAGUCAGUGUGAGUGAGAAUCCAGAAAGUUCUGGUCUCCCCAAGCUGGGACACACCCUUGGUGCCUCUUCUGGGACCUAUCAGGACAGUAGCUCUGAGGACUUGCCCCAUCCCAGGGGAUGAAGGUUGGGGUUUUGGAGAUGGCCCCUGUGCCCUGAGGCUCCUGUCCCUCCUUUCACCUGGGGCUGGGUUAUCUCUGGGCUCCCCCCUCGGGCUCCUCCUCCCACCCAGGACUUGGGAAGGACAAGCGUGUGGUUAACCCAAGCGUCUGACACACAGCUUCAAAGCCAAACAUAGACACGAACAUCACAGCACGGGCAUGCAUUGUCCUAGUCUGUGGGGCGGGGGCUUCAUCUCCCAGCCUCUCAGCGUCAGAAGGCUCUUCUGACUGAGCUCGGAGGCCCAGAGGAAGCAGCUGGGAGCAGCUCCCAUCAGAAUGGGAAGCGGUGCCUUGUGGCAGCCGCAGGGCUGGGGCAGGGAGUAGGGUGUGGAGCUCGUGAAACCACAAACUGGUCUCUUCAGGAGCCGGCUUGGCCAGGCCAUCCAGAGGGAGGCUGGGGAGGACCUGCCUCUGAGAGUCCCAUGCCAGCAAGUCCCUAUGGGUGACUCAGAGAAUGGUCUGGAAAGCCCAAGCCUCUUUGGCCUGGGCUUUGGGGGACAUCAAGAGUCCUAUGGGCUCUUGAUGCUGCUUCUAAGGGAGCCUCGAGGCAGGAUGCUGGCUCAGAAGCGACACCCUGCCUCUGGCUGGUCCCAGUGGGGAGGGAGGCGUGCAGUCAUGGUCCACACAGGGGCCAGGGGAGGGCAGGGGCUGGCUGGGAAGGGGCAGGAAGGUGGGGUGCCUAGGACUAAGGGGGAGGGAGCGACACCUUGAACACGAAUCAUCUUUACCUAUAUAUCCUCCGCCUCCUCCACCGGAGGAGCACCCCCCGCCACCCCCUCCGAAACCCCCU
Molecule: long non-coding RNA, 1605 nt
Organism: Otolemur garnettii (small-eared galago)
Lineage: Eukaryota; Metazoa; Chordata; Mammalia; Primates; Galagidae
Exons: 3
Source: RefSeq, a predicted model, not a curated record